AGUGCCUGAAGAGUGGAAGAUGAAUGUCUGCCAGAUGAAGACUCGAUAGAAGAAACUUGACUGGGCAUCAGAGCUCUGUGUUGGCUUUGCUUUGCUUCCUGCAGGAAAGACUUCUCUCACAGUGUCAUUAAUGAUAACAGUACUUCAAAGAUAAAGAAGAGAUUAAUCUAAUGAUCCACUCCUAUGAACUGUUCAUACCCUUGAGCCACAUCUACCAAACUGUCCCUUUUUGAAUGGGCUCAGAUCCUGGAACAUCCUAUUAACUCUGAGGACUGACUGCCAGAAUAUGUGU
Molecule: long non-coding RNA, 292 nt
Filed under: Parus major (Great Tit)
Lineage: Eukaryota; Metazoa; Chordata; Aves; Passeriformes; Paridae
Description: lncRNA (ENSPMJG00000007765.1)
Source: RNAcentral